UGUGAUAAAUAUCAUGACCAGAAGCAAC
RNAcentral lists this non-coding RNA (28 nucleotides) under Mus musculus (house mouse). Lineage: Eukaryota; Metazoa; Chordata; Mammalia; Rodentia; Muridae. The record is from RNAcentral.